RNAcentral lists this ribosomal RNA (90 nucleotides) under Allobranchiibius sp. CTAmp26. The record is from RNAcentral. Lineage: Bacteria; Bacillati; Actinomycetota; Actinomycetes; Micrococcales; Dermacoccaceae.
UACGGCGGUCAUAGCGAAGUGGGAAACGCCCGGUCCCAUACCGAACCCGGAAGCUAAGCCCUUCAGCGCCGAUGGUACUGCACACGGGUG